Molecule: ribosomal RNA, 1551 nt
Filed under: Salmonella enterica subsp. enterica serovar Montevideo str. IA_2010008283
Lineage: Bacteria; Pseudomonadati; Pseudomonadota; Gammaproteobacteria; Enterobacterales; Enterobacteriaceae
Description: bacterial SSU rRNA
Rfam family: Bacterial small subunit ribosomal RNA
Source: RNAcentral
AAAUUGAAGAGUUUGAUCAUGGCUCAGAUUGAACGCUGGCGGCAGGCCUAACACAUGCAAGUCGAACGGUAACAGGAAGCAGCUUGCUGCUUUGCUGACGAGUGGCGGACGGGUGAGUAAUGUCUGGGAAACUGCCUGAUGGAGGGGGAUAACUACUGGAAACGGUGGCUAAUACCGCAUAACGUCGCAAGACCAAAGAGGGGGACCUUCGGGCCUCUUGCCAUCAGAUGUGCCCAGAUGGGAUUAGCUUGUUGGUGAGGUAACGGCUCACCAAGGCGACGAUCCCUAGCUGGUCUGAGAGGAUGACCAGCCACACUGGAACUGAGACACGGUCCAGACUCCUACGGGAGGCAGCAGUGGGGAAUAUUGCACAAUGGGCGCAAGCCUGAUGCAGCCAUGCCGCGUGUAUGAAGAAGGCCUUCGGGUUGUAAAGUACUUUCAGCGGGGAGGAAGGUGUUGUGGUUAAUAACCGCAGCAAUUGACGUUACCCGCAGAAGAAGCACCGGCUAACUCCGUGCCAGCAGCCGCGGUAAUACGGAGGGUGCAAGCGUUAAUCGGAAUUACUGGGCGUAAAGCGCACGCAGGCGGUCUGUCAAGUCGGAUGUGAAAUCCCCGGGCUCAACCUGGGAACUGCAUUCGAAACUGGCAGGCUUGAGUCUUGUAGAGGGGGGUAGAAUUCCAGGUGUAGCGGUGAAAUGCGUAGAGAUCUGGAGGAAUACCGGUGGCGAAGGCGGCCCCCUGGACAAAGACUGACGCUCAGGUGCGAAAGCGUGGGGAGCAAACAGGAUUAGAUACCCUGGUAGUCCACGCCGUAAACGAUGUCUACUUGGAGGUUGUGCCCUUGAGGCGUGGCUUCCGGAGCUAACGCGUUAAGUAGACCGCCUGGGGAGUACGGCCGCAAGGUUAAAACUCAAAUGAAUUGACGGGGGCCCGCACAAGCGGUGGAGCAUGUGGUUUAAUUCGAUGCAACGCGAAGAACCUUACCUGGUCUUGACAUCCACGGAAGAAUUCAGAGAUGGAUUUGUGCCUUCGGGAACCGUGAGACAGGUGCUGCAUGGCUGUCGUCAGCUCGUGUUGUGAAAUGUUGGGUUAAGUCCCGCAACGAGCGCAACCCUUAUCCUUUGUUGCCAGCGGUCCGGCGGGAACUCAAAGGAGACUGCCAGUGAUAAACUGGAGGAAGGUGGGGAUGACGUCAAGUCAUCAUGGCCCUUACGACCAGGGCUACACACGUGCUACAAUGGCGCAUACAAAGAGAAGCGACCUCGCGAGAGCAAGCGGACCUCAUAAAGUGCGUCGUAGUCCGGAUUGGAGUCUGCAACUCGACUCCAUGAAGUCGGAAUCGCUAGUAAUCGUGGAUCAGAAUGCCACGGUGAAUACGUUCCCGGGCCUUGUACACACCGCCCGUCACACCAUGGGAGUGGGUUGCAAAAGAAGUAGGUAGCUUAACCUUCGGGAGGGCGCUUACCACUUUGUGAUUCAUGACUGGGGUGAAGUCGUAACAAGGUAACCGUAGGGGAACCUGCGGUUGGAUCACCUCCUUACCUUAAAGAA